CACGGCGCACGGGUGCGUAACACGUGGGUAACCUGCCCUUCGGUGGGGAAUAACCCCACGAAAGCGGGGCUGAUUCCGCAUGACAUUCCGGGGACACAUGUCCUCGGACUCAAAGGAGUGAUUCGCCGGAGGAGGGGCCCGCGCCCGAUUAGCUUGUUGGUAGGGUAACGGCCUACCAAGGCUUUGAUCGGUAGCCGGUCUGAGAGGAUGGCCGGCCACACUGGAACUGAGACACGGUCCAGACUCCUACGGGAGGCAGCAGUGGGGAAUCUUGCGCAAUGGGCGAAAGCCUGACGCAGCGACGCCGCGUGGGGGAUGAAGCUUCUCGGAGUGUAAACCCCUUUCGACCCGGACGAAUAGCCCGCAAGGGACUUGACGGUACGGGUAGAAGAAGCCCCGGCUAACUACGUGCCAGCAGCCGCGGUAAGACGUGGGGGGCCAGCGUUGCUCGGAAUUACUGGGCGUAAAGGGUCCGUAGGCGGUGCGGCAAGUCGGGGGGUGAAAUCUCUGGGCUUAACCCAGAGGCUGCCUCCGAAACUGCCGUGCUCGAGUGCGGGAGAGGCGAGCGGAAUUGCAGGUGUAGCGGUGAAAUGCGUAGAUUAUCUGCAGGAACCACCCGUGGCGAAGGCGGCUCGCUGGACCGUGACUGACGCUGAGGGACGAAAGCUAGGGGAGCAAACAGGAUUAGAUACCCUGGUAGUCCUAGCCAUAAACGAUCAGGACUUGGGGUGGCCCGCGUCCGCGGGUCGUCCCGGAGCUAACGCGAUAAGUCCUGCGCCUGGGGAGUACGGUCGCAAGACUGAAACUCAAAGGAAUUGACGGGGGCCCGCACAAGCGGUGGAACAUGUGGUUCAAUUCGACGCUACGCGAGGAACCUUACCUGGGCUCGAAAUGCUUCUGACCAGCUGUGGAAACACGGCCUUCCCGCAAGGGACAGGAGUAUAGGCGCUGCAUGGCUGUCGUCAGCUCGUGCCGUGAGGUGUUGGGUUAAGUCCCGCAACGAGCGCAACCCCUGCACGUAGUUACUACCCGCAAGGGAGGACU
RNAcentral lists this ribosomal RNA (1044 nucleotides) under uncultured bacterium. RNAcentral describes it as "bacterial SSU rRNA". It matches the Rfam family "Bacterial small subunit ribosomal RNA", at positions 94 to 1139 of the family's 1533-position model. The record is from RNAcentral.